Molecule: long non-coding RNA, 5851 nt
Organism: Physeter macrocephalus (sperm whale)
Lineage: Eukaryota; Metazoa; Chordata; Mammalia; Artiodactyla; Physeteridae
Exons: 3
Source: RefSeq, a predicted model, not a curated record
CCGCCGCCGCGGGAUCGCGCCCCUCCCCCAGCCCCCGGCCCCUCCGGCCCGCGGGGAGCGGACGCGCGCGCGGCUGCUCGAGAGAAUCACUGAAUUUCAAAGCCAGAAAGGAUUUCGAAGAUCAUCCAGACGGCUCCUAGAGGAAUUUGUGGUCCUGGGUUAUUAAGCACCUUGAAAAGAACUAUGUGCAUCUCUUGGAUACCCUCUCCCAAGCAGGUCGGAUGGAUUUUCAGUGCCAAGUUGCCUAAUUCUGAACUGCCAGUGCACCGUCUCUUUGCAGAGAAAUUCAGCUUCCCGCUUGGAUGUUUCUUCAGAACAAGGAGGAGAAGUGAAAAAGUAGAGGACUCAAGUUAGAAGAUCCGUGUUCUGGAGUCAACUUAGCAGAAGCAUUGAUUGGGGUAUCACCUCACUGGCGCAUGUUUGUUAACCUCCUUUUGGGUUCCAGGCCCCCCUGAUAAUCUAAAGAGAACUUUGACACCCUCCUUCACCCUGAAGAGUGUACGCACACCCAAACACAUUAAAUUGUGCAUUUGAUGUCGUUGGAGGGAGAUCCCUGGACCUCAUCGAAACCUCAAGGACCCUUGGCUAAGAAGCUCCACAAGGCUUGUUACUAGUGUACUAGAAUAUCCAAGUGGCAGGUUUUGGAGUCAGAGUGCAGGGGUCUGAAUCGCUCCUCUGCCGCUUGCUGGCUUGUUGAACUUGGGUAAAUUAAUUAUCUCCUCUAAGUCUCGGUUUCCCCAGCUAUAAAGUCGGGAGAAGGACAGUACUUACCUCAUAGGCUAGUUGUGAAAUUAGAUGAGGUAAUAUUUGUCAAAUGCCUAUGUUGCGCUAUUACUGUUUAGCUUACAGAAUGCCCCACUGCCCUCUGGAGGAAUCCCACCUUGGUAGCAAGAACUUGUGCUGUGUUAUUUGAGAGCAAACAGUAUUUGGACUGAGACCAUGAGGCUUUCCUUUGGAUGGGGGGGGGAGUGGCUCCCUGACAUACCUCUGGGAAAUUUGGAGAGUUGGACAGCUUUGGAGCAAGGCUUCUAGAAGCCCUCGCGGCCCAGCUGCUCCCGUUCAGUAAUUUCCAUGUGCCAUUGUUGGUUUUGGCUCCAAGCUGAAGAUCCCUGCCUCUGGAGCUUCCCUGAAACUAGACGCCCGACCCAGAGGAGCAGGGAGGAGGAGAAGGAAGAACAGAGAAGCAGACUUUUUUUUCCUCUCCUUAAUUAACUCUGGCUCUUUUGCUCCCUGGGCUUUUGGGCUCUCGCAGCCCCAGCAAUUAGUGGGAGUGUUAACUGGGGUCAGGGCAGAGGCCGGCCUUCAGGGAACUCCCGGGGACAGUACUGGGGAGAAGGAGGUGCCUCUCAGGCAGGAAUGAGGGCUUUGCCUCUGGCCGCCUGGGCCGCUGCCCCCUUUUAGCUGAGCCACCCCCAGUUCCAGCCCCAAGUUCAGGCUCAGCUGUUCCGGGAGAAUAGCGAGGAGCUAAAGGAUUCCAAACCUCGGCCCCCACCUACCGGGCCUUAAUUACAUCAACGCACAAAGCCGGGGUGGCUGCUCAGCCUGUCCUGGUGAACAAUCGCAUCCUGUUCUCACGGCCUGUUUUCCCCCAGCUGCGCCUCUCUUUUAUCUCGGCCUCUUUCCCAGGGACGUGGGGCUCAUUCCCAGGAGGCCAGAAUCUGGGUUCUAACCUUCUUACUUCUUCCCUAGUCUCGCUGGUUUUGUUUACUCCUUUCUCCCUUUCCCUUUCCCCUCUGGUUCAGAAGCCCCAUCCUAUGUUCCUGAGGCAGCCCCAUCCGGUCCUGUUUUAGAGUGUGUGGGUGAAGGGCUUGAAAAAAAAGGCGUGUGUCUGUUUUUGCUUCUAAUUUGCAUGUUGUCAUGAGAGAGAAGCAAAAUGCCCCCGCUUUAUAAUGACGCCCCACUAGUCAUAAUGACACCUUCCAUUUGUUUAGAAUUUGAUAGUCUUAGAAGUACCAUUGCCUGCAUUUCUCGUGGAUCCGCACACACUUUGACGCAGUAGCGAGGAUGGGUACCGCUUACACCUAGUUUAGGGGAGUGAAGUGCCUUGGCAGCGGCCCCAUGGCUAGGAGGCCACAGAACAGGGACAAAACCCGGGUCUGGACCCCGGGCCCUUCCUACCUCCUUGACUUCCUGAGUGUGGGCCUUUUUCAGUCCGCCCCAGGGUCUCAGCAGAAACGCCUUGGGCAGGAGGACGUCCAGGGCCCCCGCCCCCCACCCCGACGCCCCGUCAGUGAUGGUGAACUUGAGCUCCUUGCCAUGAUGAGCUGUGAGCUGCGAGUGAGGGGCCCCUGAGAACUGGCAUUUCUGGUCUCUCCACUUGACUCUGCCCCUUCUCCAGCUUCAAGGGACAAGGACAUCAAUUUUCUUUUCCUAUUUUACUGUUGCUAUUCAAGAUACUUAGGUCUUUAAAAGCUCCAGAGGGCUUCCCUGGUGGCGCAGUGGUUAAGAAUCCUCCUGCCAAUGCAGGGGACACGGGUUCGAGCCCUGGUCCGGGAAGAUCCCACAUGCCACGGAGCAGCUAAGCCCGUGUGCCACAGCUACUGAGCCUGCACUCUAGAGCCCGCGAGCCAUAACUACUGAAGCCCGCAUGCCACAACUACUGAGCCUGCACUCUAGAGCCCGCAAGCCACAGCUACUGAGCCCGCAAGCCACAACUACUGAAGCCUGUGCGCCUAGAGCCCGUGCUCUGCAGCAAGAGAAGACGCCGCAACGAGAAGCCCACGCACUGCAAUGAAGAGUAACCCCUGCUCGCUGCAACUAGAGAAAGCCUGCGAGCAGCAACGAAGACCCAACGCGGCCAAAAAUUGAAAAAAAAAAAAAAAAUCUCCAGAGAAGGAGCUUCUCUAGUCCUGUCCACAUUCCAGUGUCUCCUGGCCCUGGCCCGCAGCCCAGGCAACUGACCCUGUGAUGGGGACGUCUCAGUAAGCAGGACCUGUGGAAGCCGCUUCCUGGACCUGGGCUUCCCUGCCCAGUUGGGUGACAGGCCUGCAACCCAUCCACAAGGCAGCAAAGCACAGGCAGCUGGGAGGAUCUUUGCUUGCAGAACCCGGCCUGGUUCAGGCGGCACAGCCCCUGUAAUUAGUGUUGUUUUGGCGACAGCUGGUGCUGUUCCUUCACUUUAAACCUCUUCCCUCCUUCACAUUUGCACAGGGAUUAGGGACCUGCCAUUCCCCCUCCCGCCGGCAUUCCCAGGAGGCUCCUGAGCCCCAUAUGGUGAAGCUCGGCUCUCCUCUGUCCUUGUGCUGGUGGGGCUUUGCAGCACAGGCAGGAAUCCCCCUCGGCUGGGAGUCUCGAGGGACACUGGAGCCUGCAGUGGCAGCUGUCUGCUGCCCCCAGCCUGGGGCAGAGCACCUGACUGCACUCUUUCAGUAGGCGCCUUUCACCAGAGUCCUUUAGAGCACUUUAAGGGUUAAGGGGCUUUUUGUUCUGUUCCCUGGAGAAUUCCAGCCCCUUGGGAAGGGUCCCCCACUGGCCCAGGUCUGAGCACCAUAGCCCCGUGGUGGCCUUGGACUGCAGACGUGCCUGUGCCAUCUCAUUGCUGUGAGCUGCCUCGCCUGGGCUGUGCCCUCUCUGCAAGUCUUCAUCCUGACUCCUCAGACACAGGACUUGAGUCAGAAUGUGCUCCUCUUGUAAAUCGACCGUCCUUCAAUUAAAAAAAAAAAAAAAAAAAAAAGAACGUGCUCCUUUGGCCCCCUGUGUAGUUUACAUUCUACAUUACGUUCCAGAAAAACUGGAAAAUGCUUAAUUUCCAACAAAAAUGAUCAUUCUGAUCAUUUAGAUAGUGCCACCAAUAACAUUUGAUUGUAUUUCCCUCUGUUCUUUAUUUUAAUGUGCAUAGAUUCUUAAAACAAUUAGUGGUAAUCUUACUAAUUACAUACUUCUGUAUGUAGCUUUUUCAUGUAACACUGUAGAAUGAGCAUUCUUAAAGAAAUGGUGUGGUUUUAAAACAUUUUCAGUGGCUACACUGUUGCUUCCUUGUGCAUCCCGUGUUGUUUUUGUUUCCCCCCACCUCCCGCUUGUCUUUAUUUUAAGCCUCAGAACUUCACCGAGCUGGAUGGUCAGGAGCCACCGUCGGGGUUGUUUGGGUGUAAUAUUAAUCCAGAGCUGCCAUGGUGCUGGGAGGAGGGGCCUGGGGCCCGAUGGGACAGAGGCUCCCAGCAUGGCCUCUUUGGCCCUUGGUGCCGUAGUCCUGGAACGGCCCCUGGCUGUUUCACGACGCCUCCGUGACUUACGCAGGGGUGAGGCGAUGGGGCACAGGUUCAGGUUGGCCCUCAGGACCCAUGGGCGCAUAAGUUGAGUUUCAUUUCCAGCCGUGGGCCUGGCACGGUGGCCCAGGUGCCGGGAACAUGCGGCUGUGACCCAGCUCUGUCUCCUUCCUUGAGCUCUUGGGUUUUCGGACCCUAGCUGUGUCCCACAGCCGGGCCUUCCCCUGAGCGCUCCUGUACUCACCCCGGAGUCGUCAGGUGCAUUUCACCCUCCCCUCGAGGGCCUGGGGACCACAGGGGUCUGGGCUUAGCCCCCUGAACGCCAGGACAGACACCAACCUUUUCUCCCAGUAUCUCUUAUUAACUACACUUCUGAUGAGGAUAAUGAUUAAUAACGGUGGUAACAAGCAGCAGCCUUUGUUCUCGGAGACCCAAAGCCACUUUCAGUUCUGUUGAUUUAUACCCCUUUCUCUUCCUUGUGAAAGGGUAAGUUGAGGCAUCGAGAGAUUUAAGAGUUUUGAGCUUGGCUUCCGAUCCUGACUCUGUCCUCUGUAAGUUCCAUUACUUAUCCACUGAGCCUCAGUCUCCUCAUCUGUACAACGAAAGCAGUGAUGCCUGACUUGCAAGGUUGAUGUGAGGAUCAAAUGAGAGUAUUUCUGCAAAAUUCUCUGGCACAUAAUAGGUGCCCAGUCAGUGUUGGGUUGUUGAUGUUGUUUAGGGUCACAAAAUGCACCACCCUCAAAGCCGGAGGGACUUGCCCGUCCAGCCCCUUCCCAGCUCAUGUUUCCCUGGAAUCCCUUCAACUGUGCGCUUACCUAGCCAGCUCCAGGCAGGAAGCUUUCCUGCUUGGCUGGUCAGAGGAGGCAGGCUGACCAGAGGUGCAGUUGUUUUCAGCUCCUUCUGGAUGGGACAUGGUGCCAGGUCGGGCCGUGCCCUCCUACACCCUGCCAAUCUGAGUGAAAGUAACUAGGACCCUUUCCUUCUGGCUUUUGUCUUAGACGGUGUUGAGAAGGCAGCUCCACGGGAAUGCGGGGUGCGGUGUCAUGAUUAACUUGCUAGUGUGCCUUUGUGGCCACGCUUGUCUGCAGGCUCUUGCUAGACCACCCCUCCCCGCCUCACCCACCACCGCCAAAAAACAACAACAUGAAGCCAAAGAGAGAGUCAUCUGAGGACAAGCUCUGGUUCUGGGUCCUUGUGCCCCAGUCUGAGGGCAUAUGGUUGGCUGUCUACUUCCAGGAGGCCGUGAGCUCUAGCCUGGCUAGACAGAGCCGGCCUUUGAGACUUCCAGAGAAGAAUCUUAUAAACUUGCUAGCCAUCUGCCCAAGACCUUGAGUUUUGGGUGCCAUUCCUGCUGAGGCCAUGAAGCAGUAGCACUGGCGUCACCUGGGGCCUAGUCGGAAAUGCAGAAUCUCAGGCCUCAUGCUAACCCUACUGAGUCAGAACUUGCAUUUUAAAAAGACCCCUAGGAGGGCUUCCCUGGUGGCGCAGUGGUUGAGAGUCCGCCUGCCGAUGCAGGGGACGCGGGUUCGUGCCCCGGUCCGGGAGGAUCCCGCGUGCCGCGGAGCGGCUGGGCCCGCGAGCCGUGGCCGCUGAGCCUGCGCGUCCGGAGCCUGUGCUCCGCAACGGGAGAGGCCACAGCGGUGAGA